AGAGCCCUACGGGACGCAGCAGUAGGGAAUCUUCCACAAUGGGCGAAAGCCUGAUGGAGCAACGCCGCGUGGGGGAAGAAGGUCUUCGGAUCGUAAAACCCUGUUGUUAGAGAAGAAAGUGCGUGAGAGUAACUGUUCACGUUUCGACGGAAUCUAAACAGAAAGCCACGGCUAACUACGUGCCAGCAGCCGCGGUAAUACGUAGGUGGCAAGCGUUAUCCGGAUUUAUUGGGCGUAAAGGGAACGCAGGUGGUCUUUUAAGACUGAUGUGAAA
This 274-nucleotide ribosomal RNA is filed under the name uncultured bacterium. RNAcentral describes it as "partial 16S ribosomal RNA". It matches the Rfam family "Bacterial small subunit ribosomal RNA", at positions 333 to 599 of the family's 1533-position model. The record is from RNAcentral.